This 77-nucleotide transfer RNA is filed under the name Hellea sp. Its description in RNAcentral is "tRNA-Pro". It matches the Rfam family "tRNA". Rfam says of the family: Transfer RNA (tRNA) molecules are approximately 80 nucleotides in length. Their secondary structure includes four short double-helical elements and three loops (D, anti-codon, and T loops). The record is from RNAcentral. Lineage: Bacteria; Pseudomonadati; Pseudomonadota; Alphaproteobacteria; Maricaulales; Robiginitomaculaceae.
CGGAGUGUGGCGCAGUCCGGUAGCGCACUCGUCUGGGGGACGAGAGGUCGUAGGUUCAAAUCCUAUCACUCCGACCA